This is a long non-coding RNA of Cephus cinctus (wheat stem sawfly), 583 nucleotides long. RefSeq lists it as uncharacterized. The transcript has 2 exons. Lineage: Eukaryota; Metazoa; Arthropoda; Insecta; Hymenoptera; Cephidae. The record is from RefSeq and is a predicted model, not a curated record.
GUAAAUGUUAGGGUCAGCGACAUGGUAUUAUACCUUUGCUUGCAGGAGAUCAUCAGGACUCUAUAUAUAACACCACGGUCAUUCGGCGACGAAUUUAUUUAUGAACAUGCUGAGCCGGUGCUAGAGAAGAUCGAGCGACCGAGAGACCGACAGAGGGACUAAAUCCGCGGCCGCUAGAGAUCGUGCCAGAAUUUCCUGCGGUGCAGUACUCGUUCCCACGUGAAAGGGUACAUUUACCAAGAGGAAUGUAACCGUUUACAUCUUCAAGAAGAAGUAUAUCAUUUUUACUCUGUGACUUGAAUUAUAAUGCAUCGUGGCACUGUGCGUUCUACGUACUCCGGGCUAUCUGACGUUGAGGAGAUCUCACCGAGACGACUGUCGCCUCAACGACUCUUCACGGUUUUCCCUGCCAACUGGAAAUUCUUGUGCGAUACUCUCUCGGCAAUGACGGACUGCCUUUGCUCAUGUUAACGUUCGGCUGCGACAUAGUAAAGAACGGUCAAAUGGUUAUCGGUAGACGGUUAGGCCAAAAAAUGUGCACAUAACGUAGGGCCAAAAUAUUAAAAAUAUUUUUACUAUCUAA